UAGUGGCGAACGGGUGAGUAACACGUGAGUAACCUGCCCUUAACUCUGGGAUAAGCCUGGGAAACUGGGUCUAAUACCGGAUAGGAGCGUCCACCGCAUGGUGGGUGUUGGAAAGAUUUAUCGGUUUUGGAUGGACUCGCGGCCUAUCAGCUUGUUGGUGAGGUAAUGGCUCACCAAGGCGACGACGGGUAGCCGGCCUGAGAGGGUGACCGGCCACACUGGGACUGAGACACGGCCCAGACUCCUACGGGAGGCAGCAGUGGGGAAUAUUGCACAAUGGGCGCAAGCCUGAUGCAGCGACGCCGCGUGAGGGAUGACGGCCUUCGGGUUGUAAACCUCUUUCAGUAGGGAAGAAGCGAAAGUGACGGUACCUGCAGAAGAAGCACCGGCUAACUACGUGCCAGCAGCCGCGGUAAUACGUAGGGUGCGAGCGUUAUCCGGAAUUAUUGGGCGUAAAGAGCUCGUAGGCGGUUUGUCGCGUCUGUCGUGAAAGUCCGGGGCUUAACCCCGGAUCUGCGGUGGGUA
The sequence is a ribosomal RNA, 525 nucleotides long. It matches the Rfam family "Bacterial small subunit ribosomal RNA", at positions 93 to 632 of the family's 1533-position model.